Long non-coding RNA from Homo sapiens (human), 7214 nucleotides. RefSeq annotates it as CBS mRNA stabilizing lncRNA. The transcript has 4 exons. The record is from RefSeq and is a predicted model, not a curated record. NCBI's taxonomy places the organism in Eukaryota, Metazoa, Chordata, Mammalia, Primates, Hominidae.
CCUUCUCGGUGUAACUAGGUCAGCGCAAGGUGAUCCUGAGGAGAUAGGCGGCGCUCGGGGGGCGCCCUCGUUCCUCUUAUCGCGCCUUUGUCCCUCCCUCCGUUCCUUGCCCCGCACCCUCACUUUCGCCGCCCUGUGCGUUGCCUGUCCCGGAACUGGUUCCCUCAAGCCGCCCUCACCUGUUCUGACUUCCCCUCGAGGCACAAUAGCCUGAGAGAUCAGACGUGGGAGAUUAGAUUGCUCGGCGUCAGACCUACUUCUAGGCAACCCCCCCUAGACUGGAGCUGCUCGUCGUGGACAUUAGGAUCUAGUUGGGCAUGAGCCCUUAACUUAAGGGUCGGGGGGGAAGUGGCGGGUGCGGAGAGGAGGCGUGGAGAGUGUGAGGAAGAAGAGAGGCACUCUGAGAAGAAGUCGAACAACUAACCCCUCAUUUGGCCUGGUUUGGGUGAGAAGAUUGAGUCACUUGGGGAAAAAAAUAUUGGAGAAGUCAGAGAAGGUGUAAAUCAGUGGUGCCACAAACACCAGUUUACUUCCACUUUUCACCCCCCGGGUCUGUUUUGUCUGCGUGCAGCUCUCCUCGUGUCGGAGACGCUGAGUCAGUUCUCUACUGGUCUUGCCCUCUUCCGGAAAAAGAAAACACACCUGAGAAGUGGUAGUUCCUAUCCUAACCUACUGGGGCCCUUUAUACCAGGUGCCAAACUUCAUUAUCCACCCCACCACCUUGCCCGGGAGGGAGAUCUGUGAAAGCGAAACGUGAUUUAAGCUGGGAUCUGGCAGCAACUUCGUGGACUCUGAAGGGCACGUGGGAAAGGAGUUUUGAUUGAAGAAACCAAUGGCUGCAUUAAAUGAGUCUAUAGAAGAUUUUUCAUCUCUGGACAUGUCUAAUUGCAGAGCUCUAAUUGGAGGAACGUGUGGCAGUAUCUGAAAGGAGAAAAUAGGUGCUUGCUGCUUUGUUUCUGUCAAAACCUCUGAUGUUAGAAUAUGUACAAAAAAUGGGCACAAAAAGUUGGCUACAUAUAGCUUAAAGUGGGAAAAAUAAGCAAGAAGAUAAUUCUUACAGGUUCGCCAAGUGUGGCCUCAUGACCAGCAGCAUUUGUCACCUGGAAGUUUGUUAAUAAUUCAAAAUCUUGAGCCCCACCCCAGACUUACUGAGUCAGAGGCUCUGGGAGUGGAGCCCAGCAACCAGUGUUUUAACAAGCCCUUCAGACAAUGUUUUUUUUUUUUUUUUGAGACGAAGUCUUGCUCUGUCGCCCAGGCUGGAGCGCAGUGGCACAAUCUCGGCUCACUGCAAGUUCCGCCUCCCGAGUUCACGCCAUUCUCCUGCCUCAGCCUCCCGAGUAGCUGGGACUACAGGCGCCCGCCACCAUGGCCGGCUAAUUUUUUUUAUUUUUAAUAGAGACGGGGUUUCACUGUGUUAGCCAGGAUGGUCUCCCCUCGUGAUCCGCCCACCUCGGCCUCCCAAAGUGCUGGGAUUACAGGCGUGAGCCACCGCGCCAGGCCCAGAGAAGGUUAAUGAAUGCUAAAGUUUGCGAACCACCGUUUGAUAGGCUGAAAAUGGCACCUCAAAAGACAGUGCAUCUGAAUCCCUGGAACUUAUAAAAUAUUAUCUUAUUUGGCAAUAGGGUCUUUGCAGAUCUGAUUAAAGAUCUUAAGACAAGAAAUUAUCCUAGAUUACCUGGAUGAAUCCUAAAUACCGGCACAAGGACCCUUUUAAGAGAGAGACAGAGGGAGAUUACACACAUGGAAGAGGAGGAGGCACUGUGAUCACAGAGGCAGAGCCUGGAGUGACGCAGUAACAACCAAGGGAUGAGGGCAGCCACCGGAAACUGGAAAAGGAAAUGAAUGGAUUCUCCCCUACAGCAUGUGGAAGGAACACAGGCGGCUUUGCUGACCUCUUGAUUUCAGCCCAGUGAAACUGACUUCAAAUUUCCGAAUCAUAGUUCUGAAUUAGAACUGUGAGAAAGUGAAUUUCCGUUGUUUUAAGCUAUCAAGUUUGUGGCAAUUUGUUACAGAAGCCACAGGAAAGGAAUACACUCCUCAUAAAGAAUGAGGAGAUAUAUGCUAAACUACUUAAAAAUUUGUUAGAGUCUUAUAAGAAAAUAUACUUGUUAUUAUUUUCUAAAUAUCUAAAAUUAGUGAUCCUUUUGUAAAAUUUGCCACUUCUUAAACAUUUUUCCCAACACAGCUUGCCAUCAAAUGUUAAAGUGUAAUAAUUUUCAUAAUAUUGGCAUCAAACAUGGCCUUUAUAUAUCUUAAUUUUCAUAUGAUAGCACAUCCCACAGGAAAGAAAAUAAAUUCUCUUGACAGGAGGGAAAAAAAAACAGGACAUAUUUUGCUUAUAGGUGAGAUUUGCAUAGGUUAGAAAGCUGUCAUAAAGCUUUUUUAUGGUUAAGGAAAUGUUUUGUGGGAAAUAAUAUUGGCAUUUAUUUAUAGGAAAAUGUUUCACAAUAAAUAUUAGAAGAUAGUCUAUGUAUAAUCUAUGCUACUUGAUAAAAUAGUCGAGCUUUUAAAAAGAGAUCUGGAACACCUGGAACUUGUAAUAAUUUGUCUUCUGCACAAUGCUUCUCAGAUCAUUGUUAUAUAUAUAUAGAUAGCUCUAUAUAUGAAUAUAUAAAAGAAUAUGUAUAUAAAUAUGUACCCAUUUAAUUCUUACAACUGCAUACUAUAUGAGAUGAGCAGGUCAAGUAUUUUUAUUUUUCUUAUAUUACAGAUUAAAAAGUGAUGCUCAAAGAAGUUAAAUAACCGGCCCAAAUUCACAAAAAAAUGUAGAUACUAGAUUUUGUAUUAGAAACUACCUAAAUCUCCUGACAAUGCUAUUUCCAGGGUUUCAGGUUUCUUCAGCUGACCUCAACUGGGCAAAUUAAUAUUUGUGGUUAAUUACACUCUGGUUUAGAGACACUGUGAUCUGUUUCAACCAAUUCAAUAGGCAUUGCUGAGCAUCUAUUGUGUGUCUGAAACUGUGCUAGUUCAUCUAGGGGAACACAGAGAAAGUGCCAGACAUAUUACUGGUAGGGAGGAAAUGCCUAUGUAAAUGAAACAAAUAAGAAGGAGAAAGAAUAAAACCAAAUGCCUCAAUCUGGGAGAUUUCAUGCAGAAAAACCUUGAAGAAUGGAUGUGAUUCAGGAGGUGAAAGUUAGAAAAGCAUUGCAGGAGGCAAAAGAGUGUGUUGGGGAGUGGCGGGAGUGAAACAGCAUGAACAAAAGCGUAGAGAUUGAAAUAACAGGUGGCACCCAGAGAAAGUGAAGUGACAGCCUGAGGUGCCAGGAGCACCAUGUAUAUGUUGGUGAGUAGGGGGAGCUGGCUUCUCAGGGCCCACCUGGCCUCAGACAGUCUCACAGCAACCAAGAAUCUUUAGUAUUUCCAGUGAAUACACACCCUAGGAAAGUAAGGGAAAAGUAGUACUCACAUGUAAAAAUUAAAAUGCAUUUUAAAAACCUCACCUUUUGCCCAGCCCUACCAUUCUUGUCCUAUGGGUCCACCCUCUGGAAGCUUGUACCUCUGCUCCUGUGUUUUCUGAUGGUAAUAAACAGGUACAGGUGUAUGUGUUUGUAAAUGUAUUUGAACCAUGAGCCAUACAUUUCCUGUUUGCAAAAGAGGUGUCUUUCUUUAUGAAAAUGUUUUAAGAGUUCAAGGUGAGGACACAGUCUGCAAGGAGAUGGGAAAUCAAAAUUACGUUUACAUAAAGUGACAUGAAUUAGGGAGAGAGGCUUAACUGGAGAUAGAGGGAAGGGGAGGAAGCAGGAAGUGAAGAAGUGGGCAGAGCAGGAGGCCAGAGCCUGAGGAGAAAGGACAACUGGUCAGAAACUUCUGGGGCCAGAGUGGUAGAAAGGCUUUACAGAACAAUGAUAUUUUAAAUUAUUUUUGGUGUUUCCAUGUAAAACUUCUCCAUUGCUCUGAAUCUUCCAUAAAAGUUAGUUACACCCAGAACCUGGAAUGGGUGGUAUUUUGGGGAAGUACCUAAAGUGAGGUGCAGAUGUGUAGGACUCAGGGCCAUGUCCAGCAUGGACAACAGAGUAGCAAUAUUUAUGCAAAGGCAACAUGACCCACAGACCAGAUGAAGUUCUCCCUUGAUGACAAAGAGAAACCCAGGCACAUUGUCUUCUUUCCCCAGAGUUGCUGGAGAAAAUGGGAAGCUUGUUGAGUUUUCCAUUUCAUAUAGGUUAGGGUUUCAACCAAUUUCAUUUGAUCCAUAUAGGCCAUGGUGAUCCCUGCAUAGAUCUGGGCUACCGCAGCUCAUGGUCAUCACUGGCAACCAUGCUUUGGUCUCUGCUUCACUGUGCUAGUCUGCCACCAUGGAAAGGCCUUUCUGUUUGCUGAAAGUCACCAGGCAAGUGAGCCAGCUCCUGGAGGAGGAGGUAGAGCUAGAUCGGCCAAAUGUAGUCUCCAGAGAGUGACUCAAAUUUGGCUUCUCUUGGCUCCAGAGUCUAUUUUCUGUUUACUAAGGAAUUAAUCAUGGUUUCCAAAUUGGUCUGCCAGGACACCAGCAAGGCUGGUUAAAGCAGAGGUGCCGGGUUUGGGAUUUUUCCAUGCCCUGGUUGGUGAUUUUCAGCAGGAAAAUGAAGGGAUGUGCUUCCUCCUUUAUAGCUGCCCGAAAAAUUAUUGAAAGUCCCAUAACUUAUCUGAUUCUGGUCACUUGUGUCAGCAUAAACGCACCAGGUUUAUAGCAACUGAGGUGAGAUGCCUCACUUCUUUAGCAUCUGAAGUGAGAUGUGUCAAUUCUUUUUCUUUUUUUUGUCAGCAUAAAGUGAGGUGUGGAUGUGAAGAACUCAGGGCCAUGUCCAGCAUGGGCAACAGCAAUAGUAGCACUUAUGCAAUGGAAAGAUGAUCCACAGCCCAGAUGAAAUUAAAGCCUUUGGUGAAAAAGAUAAAUCCAAGUACAUUGUCCUCCUUCCCCCCAACUGCUGGUUUGAGUAACACAAUUUGGUGGCUAUUUGAAUUAAUUUAAUAAUUGUUUAAUAAAUAACCAACAUGUGCUAGGCUACAGAAUCCCAUGUUUGAUUUAGCAUCUAGGGAAGUCAGUCAGGGUUUGGAGAUACUGUGAACAUAUCUUUCUUUACUUUUUCUUUUUUCGAGACAGGGUCUUGUUCUGUCACCUAGGCUGGAGUGGCAUGAUCAUGGCUCACUGCAACUUCUGCCUCCCUGGCUCCCAGCCUCAAGUGAUCCUCCCACUCCAGUCCCCUGAAGCAACUGGGACCACAGAGUAAUUUUAUGCUGAUUGAAGAAAAGAAGUAAACAGAGUUCCAGAAAGCAACUGCAAAUACUCAUUUUGAAAAAGAAAACAAAACAAAAACAAGGGAGACAUUUUAAAAGGUGCUAAAGCAACAGGACCAGUUGCCAGAGAGCUUAUUUUACCUCCCCAAAACAAGAUUGGUGUUUCAUCCUUGAGUUUAGUACACAGGAUUGUUCUUAUUCUUCUGCAGAUAGAGAGGUGCACUGCUUUAUGCUGCAAGUUGUCUAUAAGACAAGUUUUGUGAGUAUCAAAUAUUUGUAAGCAAAUCAAAUUUCUCCCCCAGUUGAAAUGAUUAUUUCAGAAGAAUUUCUUCUUUGUUUUGAAUUGGACUUCUGAGUUGGACUUCUCAGCAUGAUAAAGAAGAAAGAGCAUUAGAAUAAGAAAGAAGAUUAAGCUUCUUGUUUUGAUUAUGCCCAUAAUCAGCUGUGGGACCCCGGGCUAAUGCACUCCAAAAUCCCACUGUUCUGUGACCUUGCUAUGUGGGGCAUCAGCCUCCUCAUCUCUAAUAUUUUGGAUUUAAGUUAGUUGAUUUUUAUGGUCCCGCAAUGGAAUUCUUUAAACAACUCCACUAAUCCAUGAUACUGUUGCUUUAAAAAUCUUGGUUUUAGCUUUCCUCUAAGGAAUUUAUAGUGACAAUUAUCUACUUUUUUUUUCUUAAAUAAAAAUAGAGGUGGGGUUUUGCCAUGUUGCCCAGGCUGGUCUCAAACUCUUGGGCUCAAGUGAUCUGCCCACCUUGGCCUCCUAAAGUGCUGGGAUGACAGGUGUGAGCCACUGUACCCGGCCAGACCAUAUGUCUCUAGCAUUUUGAUAACAUUCUCUACAAUCUGGGCCCUGUAUAACUCCCCAGUCUUCAGACUACUACUCUCUAUGCUCACAUCUUUGGCGAUUUUAUACUCUUUGCCAAUUUAGAUGCCAUUUGUUUUUUCGUUUCCAGUAGAUUAGUAUGUCCAACCCAGAUUUUGGUAAACCCUAGACUCAUUCUACAGUCUGUGACAUCUCCAUUUGGAUUUCUUAUUGGCAUCUCAGACUCCAUAUGUCUAACCUGGAAUGCCUGAUCUCCAUUGCCUCCUAAACCGGCUUCUCUCACGGCUCUCCCAUCUCGGGGCCCAGCAUCUCAGACCUUUGCCUUGCUUACACCAGACAUUUUGUUGUUAUCUGUACCACCUCCUUCUCGUGCAGUCUACUUGAUGCCACCUAAUUGGUAUCCCUGGCUUCUGCCCUUGUUCUCUUAACGAAUCAUUUUCCAAACAGCAGCCAGAGUGAUCCUUUCAAAAAUGGAUUCAGAAAUCAUGUCACUGCUCUGCCCAAAGUUCCCAAAUGACUUCCCAGUCACUCAGAGCACAAGCUGACGCUCGACACAUCUGGGCCCCGUAAGAUUUUCAUUUCUGCUCCUCCUCCUUUUGCUCACUCUGCCCCUGCCACAUUGGUCUCCUGCUUUCCCGGAACUUGCCCAACAUGUUCCUCCCUCAGGGCCUUCACAUUUGUCAUUUCCUGUCCUAUGAUGCUCUUCCUGCAGAUAUCUACAGCAGCUCCCCGCUGCUCCUUUUGCAGGUUUUUGUUCAGAUGUCAUCUUCCUGGUGAGCUCUUCCCUGAACAACUCCUCACCCCCUCCACCUUGCCCCUGGGACUCCCUUUGACCUUUCUCGGAUUGUUUUCCCUGUAACUCUUGCCACCACCUCAUACAGGGCUUCUCAAGCUUGGCAUGAUUGGCAUUUUGGGACAGUUCUUUGUUGCGGGCUAUUAUCCUGUGCCUUGCAGGAUGUUUAGCAGCAUCACCACCCUCGACCCACUCAAUACCUGCAACUUUCCUCCCUAGGUUGUGACAGCCAGAAAUGUCUCCAGACACUGCCAAAUGUCUCCUGGGGGACAAAACCACCCCUGGUUGAGAAUCUUUGAUAUAAUGUAAAUAUGCAUUUUACCUAUGUAUUUGUUUAUUGUUCCUCCCUUCCCCACCAAUAAAAUAUAAUCUCCAUGAGAACAGGAA